This 347-nucleotide long non-coding RNA is filed under the name Homo sapiens (human). RNAcentral's name for it is "HSALNT0342800". The record is from RNAcentral. Lineage: Eukaryota; Metazoa; Chordata; Mammalia; Primates; Hominidae.
AGCACAACAUUUCAUCUCUUUGAUUCUAGACACUAUCCUCAGAAAUUAGAUUUGAAAAAUGAGCUUCAUUUUCGAAGAACAUAUUAGUGAGGAGACAUUUGGAAUAAAUAUGGCUUCUGGGGGCCCAUUCCUAUGGAUCAGCAGCUGGCUUCUGGAGGCCCAUUCCUGUGAAUCGUCGAUCUCAUAGAAGAUAAUAUUGUUAGAAGGCUUACCUCAUUGAUGCUGAACAUCCUAAAAAGCUUCUGCUGCUUUGAGUCACUGAAAAAGACCAAGAAACAUGAAUUUAAAAAAAAAUUUCAAAUGUUAUAAAAUAAAUAAUAUGAACUCAUUAUACCUACAAUGAAUAA